RNAcentral lists this ribosomal RNA (463 nucleotides) under uncultured bacterium. RNAcentral's name for it is "partial 16S ribosomal RNA". It matches the Rfam family "Bacterial small subunit ribosomal RNA", at positions 28 to 507 of the family's 1533-position model. The record is from RNAcentral.
GACGAACGCUGGCGGCGUGCUUAACACAUGCAAGUCGAGCGGAAAGGCCACUUCGGUGGUACUCGAGCGGCGAACGGGUGAGUAACACGUGAGUAAUCUGCCCCUCACUUUGGGAUAGCCACCGGAAACGGUGAUUAAUACCGGAUAUGACCAUAUGUCGCAUGGCGUGUGGUGGAAAGUUUUUCGGUGAGGGAUGUGCUCGCGGCCUAUCAGCUUGAUGGGGAGGUAAUGGCUCCCCAUGGCUUCGACGGGUAGCCGGCCUGAGAGGGUGACCGGUCACACUGGGACUGAGACACGGCCCAGACUCCUACGGGAGGCAGCAGUGGGGAAUAUUGGACAAUGGGCGGAAGCCUGAUCCAGCAACGCCGCGUGAGGGAUGACGGCCUUCGGGUUGUAAACCUCUUUCAGUACCGACGAAGCGCAAGUGACGGUAGGUACAGAAGAAGCACCGGCCAACUACGUG